RNAcentral lists this unclassified non-coding RNA (298 nucleotides) under uncultured Sporormiaceae. RNAcentral's name for it is "partial contains 5.8S ribosomal RNA, internal transcribed spacer 2, and large subunit ribosomal RNA". The stretch from base 1 to 102 matches the Rfam family "5.8S ribosomal RNA", at positions 53 to 154 of the family's 154-position model. Lineage: Eukaryota; Fungi; Ascomycota; Dothideomycetes; Pleosporales; Sporormiaceae. The record is from RNAcentral.
AUGCGAUAAGUAGUGUGAAUUGCAGAAUUCAGUGAAUCAUCGAAUCUUUGAACGCACAUUGCGCCCUUUGGUAUUCCUUAGGGCAUGCCUGUUCGAGCGUCAUUUGAACCCUCAAGCUCAGCUUGGUGUUGGGUGUCUGUCCCCGCCUCCGCGGGGACUCGCCUCAAAAUCAUUGGCGGCCGGUACGUUGGCUUCGAGCGCAGCAGAAACGCGAACUCGAGGCCCGGCGGAUCGGCGACCAGAAGUCUCUUCUUCACAGUUUGACCUCGGAUCAGGUAGGGAUACCCGCUGAACUUAA